This 497-nucleotide ribosomal RNA is filed under the name uncultured bacterium. RNAcentral's name for it is "partial 16S ribosomal RNA". It matches the Rfam family "Bacterial small subunit ribosomal RNA", at positions 28 to 507 of the family's 1533-position model. The record is from RNAcentral.
GAUGAACGCUGGCGGCGUGCCUAAUACAUGCAAGUCGAGCGAACGGACGAGAAGCUUGCUUCUCUGAUGUUAGCGGCGGACGGGUGAGUAACACGUGGAUAACCUACCUAUAAGACUGGGAUAACUUCGGGAAACCGGAGCUAAUACCGGAUGAUAUUUUGAACCGCAUGGUUCAAAAGUGAAAGACGGUCUUGCUGUCACUUAUAGAUGGAUCCGCGCUGCAUUAGCUAGUUGGUAAGGUAAUGGCUUACCAAGGCAACGAUGCAUAGCCGACCUGAGAGGGUGAUCGGCCACACUGGAACUGAGACACGGUCCAGACUCCUACGGGAGGCAGCAGUAGGGAAUCUUCCGCAAUGGGCGAAAGCCUGACGGAGCAACGCCGCGUGAGUGAUGAAGGUCUUCGGAUCGUAAAACUCUGUUAUUAGGGAAGAACAAAUGUGUAAGUAACUGUGCACAUCUUGACGGUACCUAAUCAGAAAGCCACGGCUAACUACGUG